GUUAAAUGAGGGAUGACUUUAAUGUGAGGGUUCUCAUAUUUGUGUGGGGCAUAAAUAUUUAAUUGGGAGAAGGUUGUGGAGUUUUAAAGUAAAACUGUACAUUUGCUAAACAUGUUUUUUUUUUCUUUCUUUUUAAAGGCAACCAAGGACGUUUAUCUCCAUUAAUCCCAAAAGUGAGAGUUGUUUGUAAAUAGCAUAGCCAAAACAAGAUGGAAUUUACACACACUUAAAUGUAUGUCCCAAUUUAGGGAACGAGUUAUUAAUAAAUUAGUUUACCAUAAGUAGUGCAUUUGGUAACACUGGAUCUCAGUCUGGUGUUACGAAUUUUGUAAUUAGUCUCAUUGAAUACUCUGAACAUUUUAUCAUCUAAUAAACAGGAC
This 380-nucleotide long non-coding RNA is filed under the name Bos taurus (domestic cattle). Its description in RNAcentral is "long non-coding RNA NONBTAT026279". The record is from RNAcentral. Lineage: Eukaryota; Metazoa; Chordata; Mammalia; Artiodactyla; Bovidae.